RNAcentral lists this unclassified non-coding RNA (204 nucleotides) under uncultured fungus. RNAcentral's name for it is "partial contains 18S rRNA, ITS1, 5.8S rRNA, ITS2 and 28S rRNA". The record is from RNAcentral. Lineage: Eukaryota; Fungi.
AAGGAUCAUUACCGAGUUGGGGUUCCUGUAACGGGCCCACCUCCAAACCUCUGCGUACCACUUGGGCAAUUUACUUGUGUUGCUUCGGUGGGGCUUUUGUUACCUGCCGAAGCGCUGCACACAAAAUCUUGUCGAGAGUUGCUGUCUGAGUUUUGCUUUGAAAAUUUACAGGAACACUUUCAACAACGGAUCUCUUGGUUCCCG